Molecule: ribosomal RNA, 465 nt
Filed under: Vreelandella stevensii
Lineage: Bacteria; Pseudomonadati; Pseudomonadota; Gammaproteobacteria; Oceanospirillales; Halomonadaceae
Description: partial 16S ribosomal RNA
Rfam family: Bacterial small subunit ribosomal RNA
Source: RNAcentral
CCUACGGGGCGCAGCAGUGGGGAAUAUUGGACAAUGGGCGAAAGCCUGAUCCAGCCAUGCCGCGUGUGUGAAGAAGGCCUUCGGGUUGUAAAGCACUUUCAGUGGGGAAGAAAGCCUUGGGGCUAAUACCCUCGAGGAAGGACAUCACCCACAGAAGAAGCACCGGCUAACUCCGUGCCAGCAGCCGCGGUAAUACGGAGGGUGCGAGCGUUAAUCGGAAUUACUGGGCGUAAAGCGCGCGUAGGCGGUCUGAUAAGCCGGUUGUGAAAGCCCCGGGCGCAACCUGGGAACGGCAUCCGGAACUGUCAGGCUAGAGUGCAGGAGAGGAAGGUAGAAUUCCCGGUGUAGCGGUGAAAUGCGUAGAGAUCGGGAGGAAUACCAGUGGCGAAGGCGGCCUUCUGGACUGACACUGACGCUGAGGUGCGAAAGCGUGGGUAGCAAACAGGAUUAGAUACCCUGGUAGUC